AAACUAACAAGGAUUCCCCUAGUAGCGGCGAGCGAAGCGGGAAGAGCUCAAAUUUAUAAUCUGGCACUUUCAGUGUCCGAGUUGUAAUCUCUAGAAGUGUUUUCCGCGUUGGACCGCACACAAGUCUGUUGGAAUACAGCGGCACAGUGGUGACACCCCCGUACACGGUGCGGACGCCCAGCGCUUUGUGAUACACUUUCGAAGAGUCGAGUUGUUUGGGAAUGCAGCUCAAAUUGGGUGGUAAAUUCCAUCUAAAGCUAAAUAUUGGCGAGAGACCGAUAGCGAACAAGUACCGUGAGGGAAAGAUGAAAAGCACUUUGGAAAGAGAGUUAACAGUACGUGAAAUUGUUGGAAGGGAAACGCUUGAAGUCAGACUUGCUUGCCGGAGCUUGCUUCGGUUUGCAGGCCAGCAUCAGUUUUCCGGGGUGGAUAAUGGCGGUUAGAAGGUAGCAGCUUCAGCUGUGUUAUAGCUUUCCGCUGGAUACAU
RNAcentral lists this ribosomal RNA (487 nucleotides) under Rhodotorula paludigena. RNAcentral's name for it is "LSU rRNA". It matches the Rfam family "Eukaryotic large subunit ribosomal RNA", at positions 62 to 536 of the family's 3401-position model. The record is from RNAcentral. Lineage: Eukaryota; Fungi; Basidiomycota; Microbotryomycetes; Sporidiobolales; Sporidiobolaceae.